UACGUAGGGUGCAGGCGUUAAUCGGAAUUACUGGGCGUAAAGCGUGCGUAGGCGGUUUGCCGUGUCCUGUGUGAAAGCCCCGGGCUCAACCUGGGAAUUGCAUGGGAAACUGGCAGGCUUGAGUGUGGCAGAGGAGGGUGGAAUUCCGCGUGUAGCAGUGAAAUGCGUAGAGAUGCGGAGGAACACCGAUGGCGAAGGCAGCCCUCUGGGCCAACACUGACGCUCAGGCACGAAAGCGUGGGGAGCAAACAGG
Molecule: ribosomal RNA, 253 nt
Filed under: uncultured bacterium
Lineage: Bacteria
Description: partial 16S ribosomal RNA
Rfam family: Bacterial small subunit ribosomal RNA
Source: RNAcentral